This 518-nucleotide ribosomal RNA is filed under the name Negromantis sp. MN408. RNAcentral describes it as "partial large subunit ribosomal RNA". It matches the Rfam family "Bacterial large subunit ribosomal RNA", at positions 1876 to 2597 of the family's 2925-position model. The record is from RNAcentral. Lineage: Eukaryota; Metazoa; Arthropoda; Insecta; Mantodea; Nanomantidae.
GGUUUCUUGACUUGGGUUUAAGAAAUUUAACCUGCCCACUGAGUAAUCAAUUUUGAAGGGCCGCAGUAUUUUGACUGUGCAAAGGUAGCAUAAUCAUUAGUCUUUUAAUUGAGGACUGGAAUGAAUGGUUGGACGAAGUAAAUUCUGUUUUAUAUUAAUUUUUAUUGAAUUUAGAUUUUGAGUAAAAAUACUUAAAUUUUUUUAAGGGACGAGAAGACCCUAUAGAGUUUAAUAUAUCAAGUUUUAAUUGAGUUAAAAAGUAAUAUUUGGUUAAUUAUGUAAUGUAUUUGAUUGGGGUGAUUAAAAGAUAAGUAAAACUCUUUUUUAGUAUAAAUUUUUUUCUUUAGGAGGUUGAUCCAUUAAGAUAGUGAUUAUAAGAUUAAAUUACCUUAGGGAUAACAGCAUAAUUUUUUUUGAGAGUUCAUAUUGAGAAAAGAGAUUAUGACCUCGAUGUUGGAUUAAGAUAAAUUUUGGGUGUAGAUGUUUAAAAGUUAGGUCUGUUCGACCUUUAAUUUCUU